AUGAUGGACUAUAGGACAGGACUGCUGCUUUUAACUCUCUGCUGGGCAGGUGUUGAUGGUCAGACUCUGACAGAAUCUGAACCAGUGGUUAAAAGGCCUGGAGAAUCCCACAGACUGACCUGUACAGCCUCUGGAUUCACAUUCAGUGACUACUACAUGCACUGGGUUAGACAGGCUCCUGGAAAAGGACUGGAGUGGAUUAGCCGGAUUGAGAGCGGUAGUGGCAGCAGCAAAUUAUACUCUCCGUCAGUCCAAGGCCGGUUUACCAUCUCCAGAGACAACAGCAGACAGCAGCUGUAUCUGCAGAUGAACAGUCUGAAGACUGAAGAUUCUGCUGUUUAUUAUUGUGCUCGAGACUCACAGUGACUGACGUUGGUUCAGCAGCUGUACAAAAUUCUACAGUCCUCAUCAGACCCCCAUCAGCUCAAAUGAAUGAUGUCUUCAGUUGGUUCAGCUCAGCCCAAGAAAAUGAUACAAUGCAGUUUGACUGAAU
Seriola dumerili (greater amberjack) is the source of this 493-nucleotide non-coding RNA. The record is from the annotation of a RefSeq genome assembly. Lineage: Eukaryota; Metazoa; Chordata; Actinopteri; Carangiformes; Carangidae.